This 653-nucleotide long non-coding RNA is filed under the name Mytilus galloprovincialis (Mediterranean mussel). Lineage: Eukaryota; Metazoa; Mollusca; Bivalvia; Mytilida; Mytilidae. The record is from RNAcentral.
UGGUGGUUCUUAGGUGUUUCUUGUUUGUUUGUUUGUUUGUUUUGAUAAGACCGUUGGUUUUCCUGUUUAAAUGGUUUUACGCUGUCAUUUAAGGGUCCUUUUAACUGUAUACUCAGUGACUGUUGCUGUUCGGUGAUGGUUGAAGGCUGUACUUUGACUUAUAAUUGUUUACUUUUUUUUUAAAUAUACAUUGUGAUUUUGGAUGGAGAGUUGUCUCAUUGGCACUUCUUCCUCAUUUUCUUAUUAAAUUCUCUAGAUUUGGCUACUGGGGAAAAGUUACUUGAAUCAGUUUAAAAUCUCAUAUUUCGUUGCUUAGGAAAUAACGUUUUUUUUCUGUUAAAAUAUUUCAUUGUUCAUUAUGCCUUAACUACAAUAAAGACUAAGCUUUACAUUAAUGUUUGGUUUGCUUUUGCUGCCAUCACGAUCUUAUUCCAUUAAUUCUUUCUGCUUGGUGUUUAAUAUUAUUUAUUUCCACACACAUGUUUUAUUCCAUUUAUUUCCAUACAUGUGUUUUAUGUUUUAUUUAACUGGCAUGCUUUGUGUGCUUUUUUAAAAUUGCUUCUUGGUUUUAUGUUUUUUUUUCCAGUCCUCAAUAAACUGUUCAUUAAUAUUAGUUGGAUGUGUGUUAUGAGUUAGAAAACUCAAUACAAGCU